GCAGAUUCAUUUUCUGCCACCGAAUACAUUAGCAUGGGAUAAUGGAAUAGGACCCUGUCCUCCUAUUUUCAGUUGGUUUUGGCAGCGCGAGGACUAGGGUAAUGAUUAAUAGGGAUAGUUGGGGGCAUUAAUAUUUAAUUGUCAGAGGUGAAAUUCUUGGAUUUAUGAAAGAUUAACUUCUGCGAAAGCAUCUGCCAAGGAUGUUUUCAUUAAUCAAGAACGAAAGUUAGGGGAUCGAAGACGAUCAGAUACCGUCGUAGUCUUAACCAUAAACGAUGCCGACCAGCGAUUAGGAGACGUUGAAUACAAAACACCACCAUCGGCGCGGUCGUCCUUGGCGUUCGUGUUCACGCACGAGCGCGAGGGCGGUUUAGCCCGAUGGCACCGGUGAAUGACUCCCCUAGCGCUU
Molecule: ribosomal RNA, 409 nt
Filed under: Acanthamoeba genotype T4
Lineage: Eukaryota; Discosea; Longamoebia; Acanthamoebidae
Description: SSU rRNA
Rfam family: Eukaryotic small subunit ribosomal RNA (bases 1-349)
Source: RNAcentral